GUAGCCUUCGUGGCUUUCCCCUUCGGCUCUCACCCGGCGGCGCUCUUCUCCCUUACGGCCGCCGUAGCCGCCGCAGCCCCCGGUGCAAUCUUCACCUUCAUCGGCACCACCCGGUCCCUCGCCUCCCUCGCCAAAGCUGCCGCCGCCCUCGGAAACGUCAGCCUCUGCGCCAUCACAGACGGCUGCCCGUCACCGCCACCCGCUAACAUCGAGAAGCAGAUCGGGUUGUUCCUCCGGGCGGCGCCCGGGAACAUUCGAGAUGGACUGUCGGCGGCCGCGGAGGCGGCAGGGGCAGCGGUGAACUGUAUAGUCAGCGACGCAUUCAUGUGGACGGUGAGGGAGGUGGCGGAGGAGAUGGGGGUGCCGUGGGUGGCGAUGUGGCCGGGGGGUACACCAAGCCUCUCUGCCCACCUCAACACUGACCUUCUUCGUCAAACCCUCGGCGUGGGCGACGAGCUCUCAACUAAAGCAGACCAGACCCUCGAUUUCAUCCCAGGCCUCUCUGCCAUGAGAGUCCGCGACCUACCGGAAGGUGUAGUCAGCGGCGAUCUCGACUCUGGAUUCCCGACUCUGCUCCACCGCAUGAGCAAGGAGUUACCGAAAGCCACCGCCGUAGUGGUGAAC
RNAcentral lists this unclassified non-coding RNA (624 nucleotides) under Hevea brasiliensis (rubber tree). Lineage: Eukaryota; Viridiplantae; Streptophyta; Magnoliopsida; Malpighiales; Euphorbiaceae. The record is from RNAcentral.